CUUCUCAGAACAUCCACAUAAACCCUGAAAUUGUUCAGUAUUCUCUCAAACAGCCGUUUGAGUCACCUCAAAUGUAGCAGUGGGCCAGAUUGAAACGGUCCGAUGCACUUCACUUGCAAUGCAGAUCAUCAUUUCUGGACAGCUUUCUACUUACUGCUGUGGACAUGAAAGGAUCGUCCUAGGCUUGCCCAUGCUGAUGGGCUGCACCACAGCAGUACUGGAGCUGAAUUCCUGUUAGAAAACAUCUUCAGGAUGCUUUGACCAGGACACCUCCAAUGUGAAGCAGUGGACAGCUGAAGAUGUUGCUGGCUGUUAU
Danio aesculapii is the source of this 316-nucleotide long non-coding RNA. RefSeq lists it as uncharacterized. NCBI's taxonomy places the organism in Eukaryota, Metazoa, Chordata, Actinopteri, Cypriniformes, Danionidae. The transcript has 4 exons. The record is from RefSeq and is a predicted model, not a curated record.